GAUGAACGCUAGCGGCAGGCCUAAUACAUGCAAGACGAACGGUAAGUUUGAUAGCAAUAUUGAACCUAGAGUGUCGUAAGGGUGCGUAACACGUAUGCAAUCUACCCUCAACAGGAGGAUAGCUCCCCGAAAGGGGAAUUAACACUCCAUAAGAUCACAGGAUGGCAUCAUUCAGUGAUUAAAACUCCGGUGGUUGAGGAUGAGCAUGCGCAUGAUUAGUUAGUUGGCGGGGUAAUGGCCCACCAAGACGAUGAUCAUUAGGGGAACUGAGAGGUUGAUCCCCCACACUGGGCCACUGAGAUACGGGCCAGGACUCCUACGGGGAGGUCAGCAGGUAGGGAAAUAUUGGACAAUGGGGUCGAGCCCUGAUCCAGCCAUGCCGCGUGCAGGAAGACGGCCUUCUGGGUUGUAAACUGCUUUUGCCAGGGGAUAAAAGCCAUGCGUGGUCAAUUGAAGGUACCUGGUGAAUAAGCCACGGCUAACU
This 484-nucleotide ribosomal RNA is filed under the name uncultured bacterium. RNAcentral's name for it is "bacterial SSU rRNA". It matches the Rfam family "Bacterial small subunit ribosomal RNA", at positions 28 to 502 of the family's 1533-position model. The record is from RNAcentral.